CGGUUAAAUACCGACCUGCAUGAAUGGCGUAACGAGAUGGGAGCUGUCUCAAAGAGGGAUCCAGUGAAAUUGUAGUGGAGGUGAAAAUUCCUCCUACCCGCGGCAAGACGGAAAGACCCCGUGGACCUUUACUACAGCUUGACACUGCUACUUGGAUAAGAAUGUGCAGGAUAGGUGGGAGGCUUUGAGUAUAUGACGCCAGUUGUAUAUGAGCCAUUGUUGAGAUACCACUCUUUCUUAUUUGGGUAGCUAACCAGCUUGA
Molecule: ribosomal RNA, 262 nt
Filed under: Campylobacter jejuni
Lineage: Bacteria; Pseudomonadati; Campylobacterota; Epsilonproteobacteria; Campylobacterales; Campylobacteraceae
Description: partial 23S ribosomal RNA
Rfam family: Bacterial large subunit ribosomal RNA
Source: RNAcentral